Amaranthus tricolor (Joseph's coat) is the source of this 2887-nucleotide RNA transcript. RefSeq lists it as uncharacterized. The transcript is spliced from 9 exons. The record is from RefSeq and is a predicted model, not a curated record. Lineage: Eukaryota; Viridiplantae; Streptophyta; Magnoliopsida; Caryophyllales; Amaranthaceae.
AAUGAGUCUAAAACGCUAAGCUCGUUCCAGAACCCAAUGUUGUCACCAAUGGCGGUUCACUAAUCAUCCACCAAACCGAUAAUAAAUCAGUAACACAGAACGAAUCACAUACCUCUUUGAUUGUUUCCAGCAACUUAGAAAAGUAAUUAACCCAGCAAGGCAGCAACUCAGCAAGUGUAAAAUGGCGGACGAUACAGAAAAGAGAUUCCACACUAUAAUGGACAAACUCUUCCAAACCCCCAAAUCUAAUCUCCCUAUCUCUUCAAGUUCGACAAAUGCAAACAAUACAAGAGUUCAGAAGCGCCCGUUUUCAGCCAUGGAAACGAAUUCAAAAGGAGAAAAAGGUGGUAGUCAAAAUACAGCUCAUGUUCCUCAAUGUAGACCUUGGGAUAGGGGAGAUCUCAUGAGAAGGGCAGCUACUUUCAAAUCCAUGAGAUGGUUCGCUAAACCCAAGGCCGUGGAUGCUAUAAGUUGUGCAAGGAGAGGUUGGGUUAAUGUAGAUGUGGACAUCAUAGGUUGUGAAGUGUGUGGAGCACGUCUGCAGUUUUCUACCCCUUCAGCUUGGAACCAACAACAAGUUGAGAAAGCGGCUUUAGUAUUUAGCUUGAAGUUGGAUUCAGGACACAAGCUGCUUUGUCCGUGGAUUGACAAUGCUUGUGAUGAAAAAUUGGCAUUAUUUCCACCUAUGCCACUGCCAGUGUUGGUCAAUCACUAUAAACAAUGUUCUUCUGCAUUGUUGCAACUUGCAGCUCUUCCCGUAAUUUCUACUUCAGUGAUUGAGAGCAUGAAAAGUCCUGAACUGGAACAUUUUCUCAAACAGUCAAUCGACGUGGAAUGUGGUGAUGCACCUAAUGACUCUUCUUGGACCGACUAUCUUGGAAAUGAUGUUGACGUAGUUUCUGCUGAUUUGUACUAUCAGGCUCAUAGGUUAUUAAGUUUAUGUGGAUGGGAACCUCGGUUGCUUCCAUACAUUGUUGAUUGUGAAAACCAGCCAAAAAUGUCUAGUAGCAAUGAAAACUUCUCCCAGUUGUCCCAUGGAGCAGAUGAUGUGCAGAGCAAUAAAUUGUCUGUAUGUGUGUCUGGUUCUACUGGAAGCAUUAGGGCAGAUAAAGAUCAUGACACUUCAAGUGUCUAUUAUGAUCCAAAUUCUAUUGUAUUGGAUUGCAAGCUUUGUGGGGCAAGCAUUGGGUUAUGGGCUUUUACAAUGGUUCCUCGGCCACUAGAAUUGGUUAGAGUUGUUGGUUUUGCUGAACUAGGCAGUGGAGGUGAUCCUGACGACAAACACACUGCAAAUGGAAAUCAUGCCAACGGAAAAAGUGAUAUUGCUUCUGCAAAUGAAGAAACUUCAUCAAAUAAAAGAGUGCUGAAUUUGACGAUUGCUGGUGGGCCGCCUCCAACAAAACAGAACUUUAGAGCAAAAAUCUCCUUACCUAUUAUCGGUCGUAAUGUGAAGGCUCGACUUUCUUGCUUAUCAUCAGAUGUAAAAUCUGGUGAUGAUGAGGCACCUACAUCUCUUAAUGUCAGUAUGGAAGGUUCAUCUAUGGACACACAGAAUGUAGAGAUUGAAUCUGGUGUUUGUGCUUCCAAGACACAAGAUAACACACCAUCAGCAACCGGAGAUGAUAUUGAUAAUUCACAGGAUAAUACGGCUUUGAGAGAGGAUAUAUCAAGCAUACCUAGUGGAGAAGAAAAAAGGAAUAGAGUAGGAGACGUGGAAAAUACUGCUUCACUAAAUGACGCCUCAACUGUAAGCAUAGAAAAAAAUACGACAGAACAUCUAUGCAAUAAAAAAACGGAGUUUCAUCCAAUUAAGCAGCAUAGACAUUUUUGCCCUUGGGUUUCAUCAACGGAGAACAUAACGCCAGGAUGGAAACAAACAUUAUCAGCUCUGCAAAAGGAGAAAGUAUUUUCACUUCCAGAAUCCGAGUGUUCUCCUUCAUCUCCGUCCCUGAUCAUGGUUGAUGACCCUAUUACAUCUAUUAGAAGGCUUUUCGAGUCCCCACCAGCCAAAAAGCGCAAACUUGCUUUAACAUAAUAGUCAGUUUGGUGUAUACUACUAGGUGCUGGUGUGCUGCUGAGAGUUUAUCAAGAAAAUACUGGUGGUGUAAUAGGACGGCCGGCCUGUGUUUGGGAUGCGCGAAUAUUCAUUAUGCAGUUUAUCCUUUGGUAUUUGAAGGGCUAUUACCUAUUGAAAAAAAAAUUAAAAUUCUAUGCGGUAAUUCUAAAGUUUUGGGUUUUUUACGUAGUAACCAAAACUUUUAAAAAAUGCACGCGGUAAUCCUAAGGUUUAUCAAAUUGUUUCAGUGUGAACUUUUUGCACAUAAAAUGUUAGCAAAUAUUAAUUUCGAAGCUUUAAGGUUGUUGUACGCUUAUGUAUGUGAUUCAAUUUUUCAAAUUUCAUCAGUUUCAACCUUUUCCUCCAAAAUAUAAACUCUAACUCUACCAUCUUUCAUCCAAAUCAUAUAUUUUCCUCCAAAUUCAAAUAUAAUACUUGAAAUGGUGAGUUAAGGUUUAUGUUUGGGGAAAUGGUUAAAACUGAUAAAAUUUAAAAUAGUAAGUCGCAUAAAUAGGCGUACACUUUAAAGCUUCGAAAUUAAUGUUUGUUUAUGUUUUCUCUGUAAAAAAAGGUCACAGUGAAACAGUUUGAGGGUUAUAGUUUCGGUUAAUGGAAGGAUCGUACCGAAUAUGAUGAUGAUAGUGAAUUUAGAUACAAAAACUCUGAAAAAAUUGGAUUAAUAUUGACAUCAUGUGAUGUUGGAACUUUUUCAAGGAAGUAUAGAGUUGGACUUCAAAAAAAAUUCCCUCUCAAAAUAACAUGUUUAGUUUCUUGUACAAAUGCACGAAAUAUCUUAGUCUCAAUUAUUACUACUAGCUUCUUAUAAGUAAU